GUUAAGUAUUCGCAACGCAAACCUGACAGGUUUUUAAAACCUGUCAGGUUUAAGUACACAAAGAAUAUCC
Molecule: unclassified non-coding RNA, 70 nt
Filed under: Flavobacterium phragmitis
Lineage: Bacteria; Pseudomonadati; Bacteroidota; Flavobacteriia; Flavobacteriales; Flavobacteriaceae
Description: Flavo-1 RNA
Source: RNAcentral